Non-coding RNA from Phascolarctos cinereus (koala), 893 nucleotides. The record is from RefSeq and is a predicted model, not a curated record. NCBI's taxonomy places the organism in Eukaryota, Metazoa, Chordata, Mammalia, Diprotodontia, Phascolarctidae.
CUCUAUAUUCUGUGCCCUCAGAUGAAUAAACUGAGUCAGUAAUUCUACUCCGCCUGGCCCAUGUCAUAAGUUAUUUCGUGCCUCUCCAUUCGGUGUGCAAUCUGUUUGCGGGCAACAAUACUGGAGAUCAAAUUUUUGGUUUAAUUCUGGUUUUCUUCUUACAAAAACUAUGUAGGAUCCCAGGAGAAAGUCCUUAACUGUUGCACACACAUGGCUUUGACAAACUGUCUACUUGUCUGUUAUAAAGCCUUAAAUUUGACAAUCCCUGUAAAAACUCUAAGGGGACAAAAACAAUUCUUUCUUUCUUUUCUUCUGCUUUUAAUUGCCAUUUUUCCUGCUUCACAUAAGCAAUAAAAGUACUCAUAUCCAUCACUAAGAAUGCUCCACAUGGAUAUUCACUCUAAAGAAUAUGAGAUAUUCUCUUGUUGAAACAUAGAAAAGUCUGAUUACAUGUGACUUAUUUAAAUUCUUAAAUGUCAGUUGUUUCUUUGUUAUUAUAGGACAUCCAUUAUGCAUGCUGCCAUUGGUGAACCAGUAGGCAUAGUCAGUCUUCUUCUUCAAUAUGAUGUUGAUGUCUCUUGCCGAGAUAGAUCUCGAUAGACAGUUUACGACCAUGCCAAAAUCAGUUGUCGCCCAAUUCAUUAUGAACUAAUUACUGAGUAUGGAAGAGAGAAGGGACUUUAUCAGUCCCAGUCAACCCUAACCAGCAGUUCAGAGAGUGCUUUUGAUCCAGAAUUUGCUUUGGGUGGAGCUGCCAUGGAUCAAAUAGCUCUAGUGUUUUCAUCAAGAAUGCUUGAAAGUCUGCUAUUUCACUGAAGAUCCACUUUUUACCCUGAAGGAUUAUACUCAGUUUUGCUGGAUGGCUUGCAAUCUGAUAUAAGCUACACACAUAU